UGAUGGAGGGGACCUAUGGAUCUGGCUAUGU
RNAcentral lists this non-coding RNA (31 nucleotides) under Macaca fascicularis (crab-eating macaque). Lineage: Eukaryota; Metazoa; Chordata; Mammalia; Primates; Cercopithecidae. The record is from RNAcentral. RNAcentral also lists the same sequence under 1 other name.